This 349-nucleotide ribosomal RNA is filed under the name Streptococcus cristatus. RNAcentral's name for it is "bacterial SSU rRNA". It matches the Rfam family "Bacterial small subunit ribosomal RNA", at positions 28 to 369 of the family's 1533-position model. Lineage: Bacteria; Bacillati; Bacillota; Bacilli; Lactobacillales; Streptococcaceae. The record is from RNAcentral.
GACGAACGCUGGCGGCGUGCCUAAUACAUGCAAGUAGAACGCUGAAGGGAGAGCUUGCUCUUCUGGAUGAGUUGCGAACGGGUGAGUAACGCGUAGGUAACCUGCCUGGUAGCGGGGGAUAACUAUUGGAAACGAUAGCUAAUACCGCAUAACAUUGACUAUUGCAUGAUAGUCAAUUGAAAGGUGCAAUUGCACCACUACCAGAUGGACCUGCGUUGUAUUAGCUAGUUGGUGGGGUAACGGCUCACCAAGGCGACGAUACAUAGCCGACCUGAGAGGGUGAUCGGCCACACUGGGACUGAGACACGGCCCAGACUCCUACGGGAGGCAGCAGUAGGGAAUCUUGGCA